RNAcentral lists this ribosomal RNA (402 nucleotides) under uncultured bacterium. Its description in RNAcentral is "bacterial SSU rRNA". It matches the Rfam family "Bacterial small subunit ribosomal RNA", at positions 355 to 773 of the family's 1533-position model. The record is from RNAcentral.
UGGGGAAUCUUGCGCAAUGGGCGAAAGCCUGACGCAGCAACGCCGCGUGGGGGAUGAAGGCCUUCGGGUUGUAAACCCCUUUCAGCAGGAACAAAAUUGACGGUACCUGCAGAAGAAGCACCGGCCAACUACGUGCCAGCAGCCGCGGUAAUACGUAGGGUGCAAGCGUUGUCCGGAUUUAUUGGGCGUAAAGAGCUCGUAGGCGGUUUGGCAAGUCAGGUGUGAAAACUCCAGGCUCAACCUGGAGAUGCCACCUGAUACUGCUAUGACUUGAGUCUGGUAGGGGAGCACGGAAUUCCUGGUGUAGCGGUGAAAUGCGCAGAUAUCAGGAGGAACACCGGUGGCGAAGGCGGUGCUCUGGGCCAGUACUGACGCUGAGGAGCGAAAGCGUGGGGAGCAAAC